UACGUAGGGUGCAAGCGUUGUCCGGAAUUAUUGGGCGUAAAGAGCUCGUAGGCGGUCUGUCGCGUCGGCUGUGAAAACUCGGGGCUCAACUCCGAGCUUGCAGUCGAUACGGGCAGGCUAGAGUUCGGCAGGGGAGACUGGAAUUCCUGGUGUAGCGGUGAAAUGCGCAGAUAUCAGGAGGAACACCGGUGGCGAAGGCGGGUCUCUGGGCCAUAACUGACGCUGAGGAGCGAAAGCGUGGGGAGCGAACAGG
RNAcentral lists this ribosomal RNA (253 nucleotides) under uncultured bacterium. RNAcentral describes it as "partial 16S ribosomal RNA". It matches the Rfam family "Bacterial small subunit ribosomal RNA", at positions 524 to 776 of the family's 1533-position model. The record is from RNAcentral.